UGAAUUUGAAGCCUUGACAAAGAGAAGGCAAAAUGAGUUUGUGUCCCUGAGUUGCUAAGUGGAGAAGAAACGUCCACCAGCCAGGAAACACCUGCCUCCAACUGUUAACAGAUCUGUGAAAUGUGCUUUGUUUCUGGUCAGCAUGGUCACCUGCUUUAAUAGUGGCUUCAGAUGAGGUACCUUGUGACAGAGGAGCUCUGCCCCUGCAGCAACCUUGAAGAUGUUGUGGAAGACAAUAGCCAUUCUUACUUCACUCUGAGGACCAUGAUGGCAUGCAAGUGUGUGCCAAGCACAUUGCUAUCUUUGGCCAUUCUCUCUCACAUUAGUACACCUGGAUGUGAAUGGCACGUUAUCUAUGUAAGCAGUGAUGGUCUCUAUCUGGUAGUAGAAAUGACGGAAUUACACACAAUCAGCACAGCUGAGAUUCGAUUUACUAGCUCAGUAAUCAGAGAAUAUGUAUGACAUCCCAGCAAA
This 474-nucleotide long non-coding RNA is filed under the name Pongo abelii (Sumatran orangutan). RNAcentral's name for it is "lincRNA". Lineage: Eukaryota; Metazoa; Chordata; Mammalia; Primates; Hominidae. The record is from RNAcentral.